GGUUUGUGGCUCAGUGGUAGAGGGCUCACCUAGCACAUGGAAGGCCCUGAGUUUGAUCCUCAGCACCA
Molecule: transfer RNA, 68 nt
Filed under: Marmota monax (woodchuck)
Lineage: Eukaryota; Metazoa; Chordata; Mammalia; Rodentia; Sciuridae
Description: tRNA.Ala
Source: RNAcentral